Molecule: ribosomal RNA, 497 nt
Filed under: uncultured bacterium
Lineage: Bacteria
Description: partial 16S ribosomal RNA
Rfam family: Bacterial small subunit ribosomal RNA
Source: RNAcentral
GAUGAACGCUGGCGGCGUGCCUAAUACAUGCAAGUCGAGCGAACAGAUGAGGAGCUUGCUCCUCUGACGUUAGCGGCGGACGGGUGAGUAACACGUGGAUAACCUACUUAUAAGACUGGGAUCACUUCGGGAAACCGGAGCUAAUACCGGAUAAUAUAUUGAACCGCAUGGUUCAAUAGUGAAAGACGGUUUUGCUGUCUCUUAUAGAUGGAUCCGCGCCGCAUUGGCUAGUUGGUAAGUUCAACGCUUAUCACGGCAACGAUGCGUAGCCGACCGGAGGGGGUGAUCGGCCACACUGGAAGUGAGACACGGACCAUACUCCUACGGGAGGCAGCAGUAGGGAAUCUUCCGCAGUGGGCGGAAGCCUGACGGAGCAGCGCCGCGUGAGAGAUGAAGGUCUUCGGAUCGUAAUACUCUGUUAUUAGGGAAGAACAAAUGUGUAAGUAACUAUGCACGUCUUGACGGUACCGAAUCAGAAAGCCACGGCUAACUACGUG